Molecule: ribosomal RNA, 1500 nt
Filed under: uncultured Shigella sp.
Lineage: Bacteria; Pseudomonadati; Pseudomonadota; Gammaproteobacteria; Enterobacterales; Enterobacteriaceae
Description: bacterial SSU rRNA
Rfam family: Bacterial small subunit ribosomal RNA
Source: RNAcentral
UUGAUCAUGGCUCAGAUUGAACGCUGGCGGCAGGCCUAACACAUGCAAGUCGAACGGUAACAGGAAACAGCUUGCUGUUUCGCUGACGAGUGGCGGACGGGCGAGUAAUGUCUGGGAAACUGCCUGAUGGAGGGGGAUAACUACUGGAAACGGUAGCUAAUACCGCAUAACGUCGCAAGACCAAAGAGGGGGACCUUCGGGCCUCUUGCCAUCAGAUGUGCCCAGAUGGGAUUAGCUAGUAGGUGGGGUAACGGCUCACCUAGGCGACGAUCCCUAGCUGGUCUGAGAGGAUGACCAGCCACACUGGAACUGAGACACGGUCCAGACUCCUACGGGAGGCAGCAGUGGGGAAUAUUGCACAAUGGGCGCAAGCCUGAUGCAGCCAUGCCGCGUGUAUGAAGAAGGCCUUCGGGUUGUAAAUACUUUUUCAGCGGGGANGAANGNANUAAAGUUAAUACCUUUGCUCAUUGACGUUACCCGCAGAAGAAGCACCGGCUAACUCCGUGCCAGCAGCCGCGGUAAUACGGAGGGUGCAAGCGUUAAUCGGAAUUACUGGGCGUAAAGCGCACGCAGGCGGUUUGUUAAGUCAGAUGUGAAAUCCCCGGGCUCAACCUGGGAACUGCAUCUGAUACUGGCAAGCUUGAGUCUCGUAGAGGGGGGUAGAAUUCCAGGUGUAGCGGUGAAAUGCGUANAGAUCUGGAGGAAUACCGGUGGCGAAGGCGGCCCCCUGGACGAAGACUGACGCUCAGGUGCGAAAGCGUGGGGAGCAAACAGGAUUAGAUACCCUGGUAGUCCACGCCGUAAACGAUGUCGACUUGGAGGUUGUGCCCUUGAGGCGUGGCUUCCGGAGCUAACGCGUUAAGUCGACCGCCUGGGGAGUACGGCCGCAAGGUUAAAACUCAAAUGAAUUGACGGGGGCCCGCACAAGCGGUGGAGCAUGUGGUUUAAUUCGAUGCAACGCGAAGAACCUUACCUGGUCUUGACAUCCACGGAAGUUUUCAGAGAUGAGAAUGUGCCUUCGGGAACCGUGAGACAGGUGCUGCAUGGCUGUCGUCAGCUCGUGUUGUGAAAUGUUGGGUUAAGUCCCGCAACGAGCGCAACCCUUAUCCUUUGUUGCCAGCGGUCCGGCCGGGAACUCAAAGGAGACUGCCAGUGAUAAACUGGAGGAAGGUGGGGAUGACGUCAAGUCAUCAUGGCCCUUACGACCAGGGCUACACACGUGCUACAAUGGCGCAUACAAAGAGAAGCGACCUCGCGAGAGCAAGCGGACCUCAUAAAGUGCGUCGUAGUCCGGAUUGGAGUCUGCAACUCGACACCAUGAAGUCGGAAUCGCUAGUAAUCGUGGAUCAGAAUGCCACGGUGAAUACGUUCCCGGGCCUUGUACACACCGCCCGUCACACCAUGGGAGUGGGUUGCAAAAGAAGUAGGUAGCUUAACCUUCGGGAGGGCGCUUACCACUUUGUGAUUCAUGACUGGGGUGAAGUCGUAACAAGGUAACCA